UUGACCUCGAAUCAGGUAGGAAUACCCGCUGAACUUAAGCAUAUCAAUAAGCGGAGGAAAAGAAACCAACCGGGAUUACCUCAGUAACGGCGAGUGAAGCGGUAACAGCUCAAAUUUGAAAUCUGGCUCCUUCGGAGUCCGAGUUGUAAUUUGUAGAAGAUGCUUUGGGUUGUGGGCUCGGCCUAAGUUCCUUGGAACAGGACGUCAUAGAGGGUGAGAAUCCCGUAUGUGGCCAUGGCCCGCGCCUAUGUAAAGCUCUUUCGACGAGUCGAGUUGUUUGGGAAUGCAGCUCAAAAUGGGUGGUAAAUUUCAUCUAAAGCUAAAUAUGGGCCAGAGACCGAUAGCGCACAAGUAGAGUGAUCGAAAGAUGAAAAGCACUUUGGAAAGAGAGUUAAACAGUACGUGAAAUUGUUGAAAGGGAAGCGCUUGCAACCAGACUUGGGCGCUGCCGAUCACCCCGAGUUCUCUCGGGUGCACUCGACAGCGCACAGGCCAGCAUCGGUUCGGGUGGCUGGAUAAAGNCCGUAGGAAUGUAGCUCUCUUCGGGGAGUGUUAUAGCCCACGGUGCCAUGCAGCCCAGCCGGACCGAGGACCGCGCCUUCGGGCUAGGAUGCUGGCGUAAUGGUUGUAAGCGACCCGUCUUGAAACACGGACCAAGGAGUCUAACAUCUAUGCGAGUGUUUGGGCGUUAAANCCAUACGCGGAAUGAAAGUGAACGUAGGUGAGAACCCCUUUGGGGCGCAUCAUCGACCGAUCC
RNAcentral lists this ribosomal RNA (757 nucleotides) under Pseudoidium hortensiae. RNAcentral describes it as "eukaryotic LSU rRNA". It matches the Rfam family "Eukaryotic large subunit ribosomal RNA", at positions 1 to 771 of the family's 3401-position model. The record is from RNAcentral. Lineage: Eukaryota; Fungi; Ascomycota; Leotiomycetes; Helotiales; Erysiphaceae.